RNAcentral lists this ribosomal RNA (388 nucleotides) under uncultured bacterium. Its description in RNAcentral is "bacterial SSU rRNA". It matches the Rfam family "Bacterial small subunit ribosomal RNA", at positions 975 to 1361 of the family's 1533-position model. The record is from RNAcentral.
CAAGGCUUGAAAUCACCAGUAAUCCUCCAAAGAUUGGGGUUCCUUCGGGGAUCGGUGACAGGUGGUGCAUGGCUGUCGUCAGCUCGUGUCGUGAGAUGUUGGGUUAAGACCCGCAACGAGCGCAACCCCUGUCCCAUGUUGCCAGCACGUGGUGGUGGGGACUCAUGGGAGACUGCCGGGGUCAACUCGGAGGAAGGUGGGGAUGACGUCAAGUCAUCAUGCCCCUUAUGCCUUGGGCUGCAAACAUGCUACAAUGGCCGGUACAAGAUGGGGCGUGCGAUCGCCGUGAGGCGGAGCGAAUCUCUUAAAGCCGGUCUCAGUUCGGAUUGGGGUCUGCAACUCGACCCCAUGAAGGUGGAGUCGCUAGUAAUCGCGGAUCAGCAACGCG